GACGAACGCUGGCGGCGUGCUUAACACAUGCAAGUCGAACGGAAAGGCCCGGCUUUUGUGGGGUGCUCGAGUGGCGAACGGGUGAGUAACCCGUGAGUAACCUGCCCUUGACUUUGGGAUAACUUCAGGAAACUGGGGCUAAUACCGGAUAGGAGCUCCUGCUGCAUGGUGGGGGUUGGAAAGUUUCGGCGGUUGGGGAUGGACUCGCGGCUUAUCAGCUUGUUGGUGGGGUAGUGGCUUACCAAGGCUUUGACGGGUAGCCGGCCUGAGAGGGUGACCGGCCACAUUGGGACUGAGAUACGGCCCAGACUCCUACGGGAGGCAGCAGUGGGGAAUAUUGCACAAUGGGCGGAAGCCUGAUGCAGCAACGCCGCGUGCGGGAUGACGGCCUUCGGGUUGUAAACCGCUUUCGCCUGUGACGAAGCGUGAGUGACGGUAAUGGGUAAAGAAGCACCGGCUAACUACGUG
RNAcentral lists this ribosomal RNA (468 nucleotides) under uncultured bacterium. RNAcentral describes it as "partial 16S ribosomal RNA". It matches the Rfam family "Bacterial small subunit ribosomal RNA", at positions 28 to 507 of the family's 1533-position model. The record is from RNAcentral.